Molecule: ribosomal RNA, 497 nt
Filed under: uncultured bacterium
Lineage: Bacteria
Description: partial 16S ribosomal RNA
Rfam family: Bacterial small subunit ribosomal RNA
Source: RNAcentral
GAUGAACGCUGGCGGCGUGCCUAAUACAUGCAAGUCGAGCGAACAGACGAGGAGCUUUCUCCUCUGACGUUAGCGGCGGACGGGUGAGUAACACGUGGAUAACCUACCUAUAAGACUGGGAUAAUUUCGGGAAACCUGAGCUAAUACCGGAUAAUAUAUUGAACCUCAUGGUUCAAUAGUGAAAUACGGUUUUUCUGUCACUUAUAGGUUGAUCCGAGCCGCAUUAGCUAGUUGGUAAGGUAACGGCUUACCAAGGCAACGAUGCGUAGCCGACCUGAGAGGGUGAUCGGCCACACUGGAACUGAGACACGGUACCGACUCCUACGGGAGGAAGCAGUAGGGAAUCUUCCGCAAUGGGCGAAAGCCUGACGGAGCAACACCGCGUGAGUGAUGAAGGACUUAGGAUCGUAAAACUCUGUUAUUAGGGAAGAACAAAUGUGUAAGUACCUAUGCACGUAUUGACGGUACCUAAUCAGAAAGCCACGGCUAACUACGUG